UAUUAUCAAUGAUGACGAAGAUUGCUAUAGUUAUCCCUGUCAGAAUAUGACUAAAUGUUGAUAUCACGUCAGUCUGAGACAAUA
This 84-nucleotide small nucleolar RNA is filed under the name Trichoplax adhaerens. Its description in RNAcentral is "Small nucleolar RNA R38". It matches the Rfam family "Small nucleolar RNA R38". Rfam says of the family: snoR38 is a C/D box small nucleolar RNA conserved across yeast, human, Arabidopsis and rice. It is encoded in the intron of elongation factor-1 gamma in both pombe and cerevisiae. snoR38 guides the methylation of 2'-O-ribose sites in 28S rRNA. RNAcentral also lists the same sequence under 1 other name. The record is from Rfam by way of RNAcentral. Lineage: Eukaryota; Metazoa; Placozoa; Uniplacotomia; Trichoplacea; Trichoplacidae.